CCUACGGGUGGCAGCAGUGGGGAAUAUUGGACAAUGGGCGAAAGCCUGAUCCAGCCAUGCCGCGUGUGUGAAGAAGGCCUUCGGGUUGUAAAGCACUUUCAGUGGGGAAGAAAGCCUUGGGGCUAAUACCCUCGAGGAAGGACAUCACCCACAGAAGAAGCACCGGCUAACUCCGUGCCAGCAGCCGCGGUAAUACGGAGGGUGCGAGCGUUAAUCGGAAUUACUGGGCGUAAAGCGCGCGUAGGCGGUCUGAUAAGCCGGUUGUGAAAGCCCCGGGCUCAACCUGGGAACGGCAUCCGGAACUGUCAGGCUAGAGUGCAGGAGAGGAAGGUAGAAUUCCCGGGGUAGCGGUGAAAUGCGUAGAGAUCGGGAGGAAUACCAGUGGCGAAGGCGGCCUUCUGGACUGACACUGACGCUGAGGUGCGAAAGCGUGGGUAGCAAACAGGAUUAGAUACCCCAGUAGC
Molecule: ribosomal RNA, 464 nt
Filed under: Vreelandella stevensii
Lineage: Bacteria; Pseudomonadati; Pseudomonadota; Gammaproteobacteria; Oceanospirillales; Halomonadaceae
Description: partial 16S ribosomal RNA
Rfam family: Bacterial small subunit ribosomal RNA
Source: RNAcentral